AAGUUGUAACAAGGUUUUUUAUAGGUAAACCUAUAGAAGGAUUAUUACCUUUUUAGCUAUUUAAUAGCUUAUUUAGGAGCUAUAGUUUCUAUAGUUUUUAACUAUAUCUAUAUUUUUUAUAUACUACAUGUUUCCUUAGUAGGCUUACUUACUAGUUAGACAAACUAAAACUCUUUAUAAUUGUAAUUAGCGUCUAAAUUAUAUAAUAAUUAUAA
This 215-nucleotide unclassified non-coding RNA is filed under the name plant metagenome. RNAcentral describes it as "partial contains small subunit ribosomal RNA and internal transcribed spacer 1". The record is from RNAcentral.